UUUUGAGCAUUUCUCGGUCGCUGUCCUCUCAGGGAGCAGGGAAAGCGCAGCGAGGGCGCCGCCGGCUCCCCCUUUUGGGUCGCGGCGGCCGGGGCGCGGGGAGGGGGGAAGAGAAGAGGAGCGGCGACGGCCCCGUGCGGCUGGCCCGAAAACGGGCCAGCCGCAGCCGCCGCCGCCCUGGGAGAGAGGGGAGACGACCACCCGAGCAGCGUCCGCCAGAGGAGCCGCCCACCCCCGCGCAAAACCGCACCAGAGCCCGCCGCUGCCGACCGAGGACACGCGCUGGGUACCCCUAGUGCCCCUACCGACGAGCGCCCGCACGGGCACCACGGGCGCCGGGAGCUAGACCGCGUCGGUCUAGACCAGCAGCCGCAGAGCCCACCGGGCACCGACGGGAGCCGCCGCCACCGACCGAACCCGACCACCACGAGGCCGACCAGGAGUGCUACCCCCGUCGAGACCACCACCGCGACCAACAGCCACACCAGCGCCGCGCCGCUAACCUGAGCUGCCGCCCCACGCCCCCCACCUCCACCGAGACCAACCACCACCGUCGCCCCGGCCGAGCAGAGAACGACCUAGGCUGGCCUAGACCGCAACCCCCAGCCGGGCACCGUAGUCACCACGCACGGGCCACCGAGGCUGCGAACCUCGAGCGGCCCGCUGCGCCCAUCCCGUCGCCGGCCCGCACCGGCGACGAGGCCGGCACCCGCCGCCGCAUCCCUCCAGGCCGCCACCACCGGAAGGCCACCGCACGGCCGAAGUGCCACCGAGCUGCCAAGACGGGCGCCGUCGCCGGCCGAAGAGGCCGCAGCUGAGCAGACGCAAGUCUGGCAGAGCUGGAAGCCGGGUAGAGGAGCCGCGGGCUCGCACUGAGGGUAGUUUCCCGACCAGGAGAGGGUCGACGCCAGGUGGCGAGCAGAGCGCGGGCCACGACGUCCUGGCUCGAGCAGAGUGCGUUCCUGGCUCGAGCAGAGCGCGAGCCCCGUCGUCCUGCCUAGCCGCCUACGGUCAAAACCGGCCGGAUAACCCAGAGCUGCGACCCCCAGCGAGUCCCCACGCUUUACACCCUGGAAAGACGAGCGGAGAAAGCGACCCCAACGCCGCCCAGAGCCCACUCCACCACAGUUCCAGCACCUACGGCCCCGCCGCCGGGACCACCACGUCGCGCCACGAGAACCCGCCUCGGGCACGGAACCACGACGGGUCAGUGGUACCGGCACACCCGCCGCACCACCAGCCCGACACCGCCAGCCACCGCCACCCACAACCGGCUCCACUUUUGGACAAGAUAGAAGCCUGCCUGGCCGUCGCCGCUUCCAGCAAGGGAAGAACUUCCGCAACAGCGCCAAGAGUGACGGGUCGUACGCCGAGGUCCCCUUUGAGACUAGGAGCCUAGCCUGCCACCGCCGCGAGGCCACAGCACAGGAAGGACUUCCGUGGCGGAACUUCGAGUACCAGGCAGUAUACAUCGAAGUAGAGGAGCAGCACCAUCACGAUCCCCACCACAACGACGUGAGUCGCGGAUACAUAGGACGAGACCCACACACGCACACAACGCCACCGCACACAGAUAUGAUCUACGAACUACUAGCCACGAAAUAUAUAUUUUGCCCCGCUUUCGGAAAAAG
RNAcentral lists this ribosomal RNA (1631 nucleotides) under Triticum aestivum (bread wheat). RNAcentral describes it as "partial small subunit ribosomal RNA". Lineage: Eukaryota; Viridiplantae; Streptophyta; Magnoliopsida; Poales; Poaceae. The record is from RNAcentral.